Molecule: transfer RNA, 61 nt
Filed under: Strongyloides sp. EN-2020b
Lineage: Eukaryota; Metazoa; Nematoda; Chromadorea; Rhabditida; Strongyloididae
Description: tRNA-Ile
Source: RNAcentral
ACCAGAUUAGUAAAAAUUUAUUAUAUCGCUUUGAUAUGGCGGAGUUCUUUUUGAUUUGGUA